This 580-nucleotide ribosomal RNA is filed under the name uncultured rumen bacterium. Its description in RNAcentral is "bacterial SSU rRNA". It matches the Rfam family "Bacterial small subunit ribosomal RNA", at positions 172 to 770 of the family's 1533-position model. The record is from RNAcentral.
CAUAAGCGCACAGUAUCGCAUGAUACAGAGUGAAAAGAUUUAUCGGUAUAAGAUGGACCCGCGUCUGAUUAGCUGGUUGGUGAGGUAACGGCCCACCAAGGCGACGAUCAGUAGCCGGCCUGAGAGGGUGAACGGCCACAUUGGGACUGAGACACGGCCCAAACUCCUACGGGAGGCAGCAGUGGGGAAUAUUGCACAAUGGGGGAAACCCUGAUGCAGCGACGCCGCGUGAGUGAAGAAGUAUUUCGGUAUGUAAAGCUCUAUCAGCAGGGAAGAAAAUGACGGUACCUGACUAAGAAGCCCCGGCUAACUACGUGCCAGCAGCCGCGGUAAUACGUAGGGGGCAAGCGUUAUCCGGAUUUACUGGGUGUAAAGGGAGCGUAGACGGGAUGGCAAGUCUGAUGUGAAACCCCGGGGCUCAACCCCGGGCAUGCAUUGGAAACUGUUAACCUAGAGUGUCGGAGAGGUAAGUGGAAUUCCUAGUGUAGCGGUGAAAUGCGUAGAUAUUAGGAGGAACACCGGUGGCGAAGGCGGCUUACUGGACGAUAACUGACGUUGAGGCUCGAAAGCGUGGGGAGCA